Molecule: ribosomal RNA, 1099 nt
Filed under: Pandora nouryi
Lineage: Eukaryota; Fungi; Entomophthoromycota; Entomophthoromycetes; Entomophthorales; Entomophthoraceae
Description: SSU rRNA
Rfam family: Eukaryotic small subunit ribosomal RNA
Source: RNAcentral
UAGCCAUGCAUGUCUAAGUAUAAACCAAUUUUAUAGUGAAACUGCGAAUGGCUCAUUAAAUCAGUUAUAAUUUACUUGAUAAUUUUAUACCAGUGGAUAACCGUGGUAAUUCUAUGGCUAAUACAUACAUUAAAGGGCCUUACUAUGUAAGGCCUGUAGUUAUUAGAUAAAAAACCAAUGCAUGCAAAUGCUUAUUUGGUGAUUCAUAGUAAACUUACAGAUCGUUGUCUUCGACGACGUGUCAAUCAAAUUUCUGCCCUAUCAACUGUCGAUGGUAAGGUAGUGGCUUACCAUGGUUGCAACGGGUGACGGGGAAUAAGGGUUCUAUUCCGGAGAGGGAGCCUGAGAAACGGCUACCACAUCCAAGGAAGGCAGCAGGCGCGCAAAUUACCCAAUCCUAAUACAGGGAGGUAGUGACAAUAAAUAACAAUCCAGGGCCCUUAUGGGUCAUGGAAUUGGAAUGAAUACAAAUUAAAACUCUUAAUGAGGAACCAUUGGAGGGCAAGUCUGGUGCCAGCAGCCGCGGUAAUUCCAGCUCCAAUAGCGUAUAUUAAAGUUGUUGCAGUUAAAACGCCCGUAGUCGAAUUUUUGGGAGAAUGGGGAUUUGAAAGGGUUUUAGCUUUUAGUUAAAUACUUUUUCUUUUUCUUGGUCUCUCAUUUUAUAUUCCUGGUCUUUGGGCUUAGUUGGUACUUUACUGUAUUGAUUAAGUCAUUUCCUUCGGGUGGGCCAGGAAUGAUUACUUUGAAAAAAUUAGAGUGUUCAAAGCGGGCUUUUUAAGCCGAAUACAUUAGCAUGGAAUAAUAAAAUAAGACUAUGGUUUUAUUUUGUUGGUUUAUAAAACUAAAGAAAUGAUGAAUAGGUCUGGUUGGGGAUAUUAGUAUUUCUUAGUCAGAGGUGAAAUUCUUGGAUUUAUGAAAGACUAACUUCUGCGAAAGCAUUUAUCAAGGACAGGCUCAUUGAUCAAGGACGAAAGUUGGGGGAUCGAAGAUGAUUAGAUACCGUCGUAGUCUCAACCAUAAACUAUGCCAACUAGGGAUUGGGGCUGAUUUUAUCAGUCUCAGCACCUUGUGAGAAAUCAAAGUUUUUGGGUUCUGGGGG